AAGUUUGAUCAUGGCUCAGGAUGAACGCUGGCGGCGUGCCUAACACAUGCAAGUCGAACGGACUUACAUUGAAGCCUAGCGAUAUGUAAGUUAGUGGCGGACGGGUGAGUAACGCGUGGGUAACCUGCCUUGUACUGGGGGACAACAGUUGGAAACGACUGCUAAUACCGCAUAAGCGCACAGCUUCGCAUGAAGCAGCGUGAAAAACUCCGGUGGUACAAGAUGGACCCGCGUCUGAUUAGCUGGUUGGUGAGGUAACGGCCCACCAAGGCGACGAUCAGUAGCCGGCCUGAGAGGGUGAACGGCCACAUUGGGACUGAGACACGGCCCAAACUCCUACGGGAGGCAGCAGUGGGGAAUAUUGCACAAUGGGGGAAACCCUGAUGCAGCAACGCCGCGUGAGUGAAGAAGUAUUUCGGUAUGUAAUGCUCUAUCAGCAGGAAAGAAAAUGACGGUACCUGACUAAGAAGCCCCGGCUAACUACGUGCCAGCAGCCGCGGUAAUACGUAGGGGGCAAGCGUUAUCCGGAUUUACUGGGUGUAAAGGGAGCGUAGACGGUUUUGCAAGUCUGAAGUGAAAGCCCGGGGCUUAACCCCGGGACUGCUUUGGAAACUGUAGGACUAGAGUGCAGGAGAGGUAAGUGGAAUUCCUAGUGUAGCGGUGAAAUGCGUAGAUAUUAGGAGGAACACCAGUGGCGAAGGCGGCUUACUGGACUGUAACUGACGUUGAGGCUCGAAAGCGUGGGGAGCAAACAGGAUUAGAUACCCUGGUAGUCC
This 776-nucleotide ribosomal RNA is filed under the name uncultured bacterium. Its description in RNAcentral is "bacterial SSU rRNA". It matches the Rfam family "Bacterial small subunit ribosomal RNA", at positions 9 to 796 of the family's 1533-position model. The record is from RNAcentral.